This 391-nucleotide unclassified non-coding RNA is filed under the name Hevea brasiliensis (rubber tree). Lineage: Eukaryota; Viridiplantae; Streptophyta; Magnoliopsida; Malpighiales; Euphorbiaceae. The record is from RNAcentral.
AAAAGGUAAUUUGGAGCACUCACACACCCGAUAAUGUCAAACCAUACAUAUAUGGGAGCUGAUCCCCUAUACAGACCUCUUAAUCCAACUUGUGCCAGCGAAGAACUCAAGUCGGACUUUCGCUUAAUAAACCAAAUUGGGGUUCCAGUGAAGAACUCAAGCCGUGUCUACCCCGAAGGACCGGGUCCCAGCGAAGAUCUCAAGCCUUGUCUACCCGCACUGUCCAUAGCCAACACCAUACCACACGGACAUCAACUCACGCACACUGCUCCAAAUUACCACAACAAUAUCCAUGGCACUUUAACAAUUAUGAAUGCAACAUAAAACGUGCCUAGUGUUUAACUACAUAAAUACAUAUUUACAAGUGAUGCAUGGGCAUGCUUGAACAUAU